CRWYGGGGKUCUAUMAUGCAGUCGACGAACUCUGGUAUUGAUUGGUGCUUGCAUCAUGAUUUACAUUUGAGUGAGUGGCGAACUGGUGAGUAACACGUGGGAAACCUGCCCAGAAGCGGGGGAUAACACCUGGAAACAGAUGCUAAUACCGCAUAACAACUUGGACCGCAUGGUCCGAGCUUGAAAGAUGGCUUCGGCUAUCACUUUUGGAUGGUCCCGCGGCGUAUUAGCUAGAUGGUGGGGUAACGGCUCACCAUGGCAAUGAUACGUAGCCGACCUGAGAGGGUAAUCGGCCACAUUGGGACUGAGACACGGCCCAAACUCCUACGGGAGGCAGCAGUAGGGAAUCUUCCACAAUGGACGAAAGUCUGAUGGAGCAACGCCGCGUGAGUGAAGAAGGGUUUCGGCUCGUAAAACUCUGUUGUUAAAGAAGAACAUAUCUGAGAGUAACUGUUCAGGUAUUGACGGUAUUUAACCAGAAAGCCACGGCUAACUACGUGCCAGCAGCCGCGGUAAUACGUAGGUGGCAAGCGUUGUCCGGAUUUAUUGGGCGUAAAGCGAGCGCAGGCGGUUUUUUAAGUCUGAUGUGAAAGCCUUCGGCUCAACCGAAGAAGUGCAUCGGAAACUGGGAAACUUGAGUGCAGAAGAGGACAGUGGAACUCCAUGUGUAGCGGUGAAAUGCGUAGAUAUAUGGAAGAACACCAGUGGCGAAGGCGGCUGUCUGGUCUGUAACUGACGCUGAGGCUCGAAAGUAUGGGUAGCAAACAGGAUUAGAUACCCUGGUAGUCCAUACCGUAAACGAUGAAUGCUAAGUGUUGGAGGGUUUCCGCCCCUUCAGUGCUGCAGCUAACGCAUUAAGCAUUCCGCCUGGGGGAGUACGGGCCGCAAGGCUGAAACUCCAAAGGGAAUUGACGGGGGGGCCCGCACAAGCGGUGGGAGCAUGGUGGGUUUYUAAUUYCGAARGCUACGCGAAGAARCCUUACCAGGUCUUGGACCAUUACUAUGGCAAAUCUUAAGCAGAUUAGACGUUCCCUUCCGGGCCACAUGUAUACCAGGGUGGUUGCCAAUGGRUUGGUCGUCAGACUUACGGMUGGCYCG
RNAcentral lists this ribosomal RNA (1098 nucleotides) under Lactiplantibacillus plantarum. RNAcentral describes it as "bacterial SSU rRNA". It matches the Rfam family "Bacterial small subunit ribosomal RNA", at positions 40 to 1088 of the family's 1533-position model. The record is from RNAcentral. Lineage: Bacteria; Bacillati; Bacillota; Bacilli; Lactobacillales; Lactobacillaceae.